UUUUCCAUAACCAUGUUGAUGUUAUGAGACAUAUUUGGUUGUUGAAUUACUUUAGUUUCACUAUUCCACUCCGAUGGGCCUAUGUAAAGACGAGUAUGUGAUGAUAUAUGAUUAAAUUAUUACAUAAUUUAUAUAACUCAUAUUACGAAGCAGGUUUAUGUUGUGUUUGAGUGACACUCUAUGUGUGUAAUUGUUUUGUUUUUCGCAUUAUUUCGCUUUUCGAGGUUUAGGGUGUUAAAC
Molecule: long non-coding RNA, 240 nt
Filed under: Lathyrus oleraceus (garden pea)
Lineage: Eukaryota; Viridiplantae; Streptophyta; Magnoliopsida; Fabales; Fabaceae
Description: Pisum sativum (pea) long non-coding RNA (PSAT_LNC015485)
Source: RNAcentral